RNAcentral lists this ribosomal RNA (484 nucleotides) under uncultured bacterium. Its description in RNAcentral is "partial 16S ribosomal RNA". It matches the Rfam family "Bacterial small subunit ribosomal RNA", at positions 29 to 507 of the family's 1533-position model. The record is from RNAcentral.
AUUGAACGCUGGCGGCAGGCCUAACACAUGCGAGUCGAGCGGAUGAAGGGAGCUUGCUCCUGGAUUCAGCGGCGGACGGGUGAGUAAUGCCUAGGAAUCUGCCUGGUAGUGGGGGAUAACGUCCGGAAACGGGCGCUAAUACCGCAUACGUCCUGAGGGAGAAAGUGGGGGAUCUUCGGACCUCACGCUAUCAGAUGAGCCUAGGUCGGAUUAGCUAGUUGGUGGGGUAAAGGCCUACCAAGGCGACGAUCCGUAACUGGUCUGAGAGGAUGAUCAGGCACACUGGAAAUGAGAAAAGGGCCCGACCCCCAAGGGAGGCAGCAGGGGGGAAUAUUGGAAAAUGGGCGAAAGCCUGAACCAGCCACGCCGCGUGGGUGAAGAAGGUCUUCGGAUUGUAAAACACUUUUAGUUGGGAAGAAAGGGAGGAAGGUAAAACCUUGACGUUUUGACGGUACCCAAAGAAAAAGCCACGGCUAACUUCGUG